RNAcentral lists this ribosomal RNA (433 nucleotides) under uncultured bacterium. Its description in RNAcentral is "partial 16S ribosomal RNA". It matches the Rfam family "Bacterial small subunit ribosomal RNA", at positions 29 to 507 of the family's 1533-position model. The record is from RNAcentral.
AACGAACGCUGGCGGCAUGCCUAACACAUGCAAGUCGAACGAGACCUUCGGGUCUAGUGGCGCACGGGUGCGUAACGCGUGGGAACCUUCCCUUAGGUUCGGAAUAACUCCCCGAAAGGGGUGCUAAUACCGGAUAAUGUCUUCGGACCAAAGAUUUAUCGCCUUUGGAUGUGCCCGCGUUGGAUUAGCUAGUUGGUAGGGUAAAAGCCUACCAAGGCGACGAUCCAUAGCUGGUCUGAGAGGAUGAUCAGCCACACUGGGACUGAGACACGGCCCAGAAUCCUACGGGAGGCAGCAGUGGGGAAUAUUGGACAAUGGGCGAAAGCCUGAUCCAGCAAUGCCGCGUGAGUGAUGAAGGCAUUAGGGUUGUAAAGCUCUUUUACCCGGGAUGAUAAUGACAGUACCGGGAGAAUAAGCUCCGGCUAACUCCGUG